RNAcentral lists this long non-coding RNA (419 nucleotides) under Homo sapiens (human). RNAcentral describes it as "HSALNT0236581". Lineage: Eukaryota; Metazoa; Chordata; Mammalia; Primates; Hominidae. The record is from RNAcentral.
UAGCAUCUCGCGCUGUCCAAGCCUCUCCUGCGCUGCCGAGGCAGAGCCAUGAUGCCAGAGUCCCAGAUGUCCAGCCUUCCGCAGACUGGACGUGUCUCGGCCCGAAAAUUCAACACAUCCUGAAUCAAGCUCAUGAGUUCCUUCCUGUGACCUGCACCCAAGGACAUGCAUUCUCCCAAGCCCCUCCUGCAAUUGCCUCCCUCCUGUCCUUUUCCCUUUGUAACUCUCAUGCAUAUAGCCCUGGGUUUUCCCGCCUUUCCUGUGUCCCCAGGGCACUUAGCACAAUUUGUACCUCUUAUAUUUAUUGGUGUAAUUUUUACUUUUUACUUUUUUAUUUUUUAAGUGUUAUUUCAUUUUUAAUUGACAAAUCAUUGUCUAUAUUUACGGGGUACCAUGUGAUUUUUCAAUGUGUGUAUAAU